Canis lupus familiaris (dog) is the source of this 2882-nucleotide long non-coding RNA. RefSeq lists it as uncharacterized. The transcript has 6 exons. The record is from RefSeq and is a predicted model, not a curated record. Lineage: Eukaryota; Metazoa; Chordata; Mammalia; Carnivora; Canidae.
AGGAAGGGAAAAAGCAGUAAACAUUCUUCACUUUUGGACAAAAGCUGAGAUGAAAUUUUUGUCAGGAACCUCCCUGUGGGCCAAGGGUUCUGUCGUCGGAGGUGGAGGGUGGGGAAUGGAAGACCCAACUUCCCUCGAGAAAGGUUGAGAGGUUGAGUCGGACGAAGCCAAUCCCUCAGAUGUGGGAUGUAAUCACAACGCCCCUCGAUGGUUGCCCCUCGCUGUCCACGUGAGCUGUUCAGCAAGGGAGAUGCGCCCCUUCUGUUCAGGCUCAGAGUUGCAGUGUGCUCUGGGCCCAGCAGAUGGUGAAAGCUGUUUCCUGGGGCAUCUCUUGGGUUCUUCAGAGGUUCCUAUCUCUGCAUCUCUUUUACAGCAACCCUAAGAAACUAAUGCAGUCGUAAGAAACAUUGUCAUCUCUUCCUUGCUCUCUCUCAAAUCACUCAUCCUGAGGGAAGCAGGCCACCAUGUCAUGAAGAUCCUCAAGCAGACCUAUGGAGAGGUCCACAUGGCAAGGAACCAAGGCCUGUCAACAGCCAGCACCAACCUGCCUCCAUGAAUCUUCCAGGCUGGUCUUUCCCAAGGCAACUUGUACACCUUGCAGGUAAGAAUAGCCACCAUUUCUGCAGCAUCUACUCAGCAGCAAGUGAUUUCUAAUCUUCCCAGCACCCUUCAAGGCAAGGGAUUAUGACCCACAUUUAGCAGUUCUGAAGAGUAAUAUUCAAGAACAAGCCCCAGGUCACAAAGCUAAUGAGGGGCAGAGUGGGGAUUCCAACCUCGACCUGUCAAACCCUAACACCCCUCAUGUCCACCUGCCCUUCACUCAGGGGCAUUCGGUCUGAGGAUUAAAGCCAGUGCCCCAGGAACUGGAAUCUUCUCCAGCCUCAGGGGCUUACCAAGGAGGGGUAGACACGGAACAGUGAGGCUGCAAAGAGUGGUAGCUAAAGAGGAUGGGGUCUGAGGCCAGAUUGCCCAGGUUUGCAGCCUAACUUCCCAUUAUGCUCCUAGCUGCUGAUUCCUCAUCUGAAAGAUGGAGAGAAGGGCACCUAACUCCUUGGGUUGUCGGGAAGAUUAGAUGAGAUAAUACAUGAAAUUCAUGGGAAGAGUAAAUAGUCCAUGAUGUUUGUUUUCUAUGAAUAAAUAUUAUUGACAUUACUGUCCCUUCAUGGCCACCAGACUCUUCUAUCAGGUCAAUAUUUGCAAAGGAACACAUUUACAUGAAACAGAUAUAAAAUUGGAGGCUGAUGGAAAUUUGUGGCUGGAAGGCUGUUUUCUGCUUUGGGGAGAGAUUCUUUCCCAGCUCUAAGACAGCUCCCUGUGCAAGGUGAUGAGUGUGAUUAAUUGCAAUCAGCUCCUCUCCACAUAAUGAGGAAAGUUGGAUGUCACCCUGUGGCUUCCGUCCAGAACAAUAUACUAUGACAUCUUUUGGGGACCAGAAGGCUGCCUCUGAGGAUGAGACUAUCUGUCCUGCGCACCACCGUGUCCUGAUGCACUGUGCCCGAACAAACGAUUGAUAUGUAUUUGUGGACAGAAUGAUGGAAAGAGGGAUCUGAAAACCUGGGAGACCUGAUGAGGCCUCUCAUGUGUGAAAGGGCCUCCCAUUAUACGCUUCCAUGGAACCUGGUACUUCUCAUGACUCUUAUCACAUUUUGCAAUUACUAUGAAUUUGUGGAAGUAUUACAUUGAUGCCUCUGAAGGCUGUGACUGAUUUGUUUCUCAUUGUCUCCCCUGUGCCUGGUACAGUGCCUUGUACCUGCUAGGUGCUCUGCAAACAGGAACUGUAUGAGUGAACGAAUGAAUAUGUGCAAAAGGCACUAUGGGCUCAGGUGACUCUGAGCUCCAGCAGCGCAGUGAGAGGUGGUGGUGGGGAGGGGUUUGUGCCAUAGCUGCAGGGGUUCAAAACCAGUCAGUUGUUACUAGCUGUGUGGCCUUGGGUUGGUUACUUACCUCUCUGUGCGUCACCUUGUUUAUCUGCAUGGUGGGAAUAAUAACAAUACUCAUUUUGUAGGGCUGCAAGAGGAUUAAAUGAGUCAUACAUGGAGCAUGCUUACAGGUGAGUCUGCCCCACGUUAAGCACCACCAGAAGUCAUGUCUUGUUGUUAUCAAAGUGCCUAGCAGUGAGCUCCCUCUUGCUUUAACCCUGGAGAAUUCUCAGGGUCUCAGGCUCAGCUUCUGGAAAAUUCUCUCUAGUAGACAGGGCUAAUAACGAGACCCAAGGAAGAAGCGCAGGGUUUACAUUUGGAUCGACCCUCCCAGGAUUUGCUAUCCCCACCUGCCCGGGGCCUCAAAGAUGGUCCUAGGCAGUGUGUUUGGGGUGCGGCCUGGCUCCCACCCCUCUGGCUGCUCCCCACAGCAUGGAGCUGGCGUCCCUGGCCUUCCCUCACCACCCGCCUGGCACGGAGCUGACUCACCGCCAGGAGGGGUGGUGAUUAGCAUGCAGGGCAGGUACCCGGAGGAAAGCUGUCUCCAUGCAACAGCUCUUGAUGUGUUUCUCUGAUUAAUGUGGCAGAGAGAACAUUGCAGCUUUUUCCUGAAUGGUCGCCACGUGGAGCUGGAGUCAUUAGCAUCACGUCUCCCGCUUGCCAUGACCUGCUGACCACCCUAAGUAGAUAAAAAUGAAAAUGGCCAAGACAGCUGCAAGGCUCCGAAACAAACUGCCUGGUGGCUCUGCAGAGUCUUUUAUGUGCAAGGUUUCCCGAACAGCCCCGCCUUCCCCAUCCUCUCAAACCCCUGUAAAGCGGUCCUUAAAGUUUCUGCUUCUCUGACUGCCAGUCCCUGGGGAGGGCAGAGCCCCUUUCUCAGGAAUGGAGCCCAAAUGUGAGCCAUGUCACUGCCGCCCCGCAGGUGUGUGCCCAGGUGGAAGAAGAGAGGAAGACGGAGAGGGG